This 784-nucleotide ribosomal RNA is filed under the name Hermatomyces saikhuensis. Its description in RNAcentral is "eukaryotic LSU rRNA". It matches the Rfam family "Eukaryotic large subunit ribosomal RNA", at positions 76 to 878 of the family's 3401-position model. The record is from RNAcentral. Lineage: Eukaryota; Fungi; Ascomycota; Dothideomycetes; Pleosporales; Hermatomycetaceae.
UGCCCUAGUAACGGCGAGUGAAGCGGCAAGAGCUCAAAUUUGAAAUCUGGCUCCUUUGGAGUCCGAGUUGUAAUUUGUAGAGGGUGCUUUGGUGUCGGCUAUGGCCUAAGUUCCUUGGAACAGGACGUCACAGAGGGUGAGAACCCCGUAUGUGGCUGCUAGCCUUCACCAUGUAAAGCCCCUUCGACGAGUCGAGUUGUUUGGGAAUGCAGCUCUAAAUGGGAGGUAAAUUUCUUCUAAAGCUAAAUAUUGGCCAGAGACCGAUAGCGCACAAGUAGAGUGAUCGAAAGAUGAAAAGCACUUUGGAAAGAGAGUCAAAAAGCACGUGAAAUUGUUGAAAGGGAAGCGCUUGCAGCCAGACUUGCUCGUAGUUGCUCAUCCGAGCUUUUGCUCGGUGCACUCUUCUGCGAGCAGGCCAGCAUCAGUCCGGGCGGUUGGAUAAAGGCUCUGGGAAUGUAGCUCUCUUCGGGGAGUGUUAUAGCCCAGGGUGUCAUGCAACCAGUCUGGACUGAGGUCCGCGCAUCUGCUAGGAUGCUGGCGUAAUGGCUGUAAGCGGCCCGUCUUGAAACACGGACCAAGGAGUCUAACAUCUAUGCGAGUGUUUGGGUGUCAAGCCCGGGCGCGCAAUGAAAGUGAACGGAGGUGGGAACCCUUCGGGGCGCACCAUCGACCGAUCCUGAUGUCUUCGGAUGGAUUUGAGUAAGAGCAUAGCUGUUGGGACCCGAAAGAUGGUGAACUAUGCCUGAAUAGGGUGAAGCCAGAGGAAACUCUGGUGGAGGCUCGC